AACACAUAUUGAACCGGAAGACAGUUCAUCGACUAUAUGAAAACCAUACAACUGAAUUAAUUACCCUACAGCAUGAGCUUCCCAAAUCAAGUUAGGAUAGACUGCAGAUGCUCAAUAAUUCUGAGUAUAUGAAAUCAAAUGGCACACAUAUCUUGACAUAAAAUCCCAAGCGAAUGGGCAUACAAAUCCUCUUGAUCUACAAAUGUCCUUUCUGAGUGAGGUAGGAGGCAUUGUCAAUUUUAAAUACACUACAUGGGCACCAAAAUUUGAAAUUCACUCAUCUCACCCAUACCACACUAGAUGAGAUUUUUUUCAUAGUUAUCACUUAACUUGACCUCAGCCCUACCGUGCUCAAUGCCUCAAUGAGAUUGGCCUAGAAGGCUAGAGCAGUUUAUCAUGGAACAUCAGUUGUAGCUGUUAGAAUAUGUCAAUUGUAUCUAUAGGAUACUCUUCCAUAUAUGUACGAGUUGUAAUUGUAAUCUGUACAAACUCUUGUAUGUUCUCUAUAUAAUGAAAGCAUCGGGAGACCCUGCUGGUUAUCCCGCUACUGCAUUUCUUUCUAUAUGGUAUCAGACGCCUAAACUUUCCCAACGGAAAUCUCGAUCCAAUCUACCUCUCUCUCUCUCUCUCUCUCUCUCUCUACUCCAAUGGCGGCGCCGACCUCUUCUUCCACCGCUCCUCUCGCCUUUGGCCUUCUCCCUGUUGUCUCGGAGAAGCUUACCCGCGGAAAUUAUAACAUGUGGCACGCCACCGUGUCGUCCGCGCUCAAAGGGGCUCGCUUGGCGGGUUACAUCCUCAAGACCGC
Molecule: long non-coding RNA, 805 nt
Filed under: Sorghum bicolor (sorghum)
Lineage: Eukaryota; Viridiplantae; Streptophyta; Magnoliopsida; Poales; Poaceae
Description: long non-coding RNA (SBIC_LNC015100)
Source: RNAcentral